AUUGAGUCUAUGUCAUGUAUGUCUGACUGGCAGGGUUCAUCAGACAUUGAGCUAAAUGUCAUGGGUUCAUUGGUCAAUGUUGAAUUUUUGUGGUUUUGUCUAUUUUUCAAUGUUUCUCAGAUGUGAUAUAAAAAAGAAGAUGUGGUAUGAUUGCCAAUGAGACAACUAUCCACAAAAGACCAAAAUGACACAGACAUUAACAACUAUAGGUCACCGUACGGCCUUCAACAAUGAGCAAAGCCCAUACCGCAUAGUCAGCUAUAAAAGGCCCCGAUAAGACAAUGUAAAACAAUUCAAACGAGAAAACUAACGGCCUUAUAUAUGGGGAAAAAAAUGAACGAAAAACAAAUAUAUAACACAUAAACAAACGACAACCACUGAAUAUACAGGUUCCUGACUUGGGACAGGCACAUACAUAAAUAAUGUGGCGGGGUUAAACAUGUUAGCGGGAUCCCAACCCUUCCCCUAACCUGGGACAGUGGUAUAACAGUAUAACAUAAGAACGAACUAUAAAAAAGUGAUAAGCUACAUCAUGUACAUUGUACAUGUAUAGGAUCACUAUUUUUUUUGGCAUAUGACAUGAAUGUUAGGUGUACAUGUUUGAUUGGCCGGC
RNAcentral lists this long non-coding RNA (613 nucleotides) under Mytilus galloprovincialis (Mediterranean mussel). The record is from RNAcentral. Lineage: Eukaryota; Metazoa; Mollusca; Bivalvia; Mytilida; Mytilidae.